This 76-nucleotide transfer RNA is filed under the name Bacillota bacterium. RNAcentral's name for it is "tRNA-Gln". It matches the Rfam family "tRNA". From Rfam's summary of the family: Transfer RNA (tRNA) molecules are approximately 80 nucleotides in length. Their secondary structure includes four short double-helical elements and three loops (D, anti-codon, and T loops). Further hydrogen bonds mediate the characteristic L-shaped molecular structure. tRNAs have two regions of fundamental functional importance: the anti-codon, which is responsible for specific mRNA codon recognition, and the 3' end, to which the tRNAs corresponding amino acid is attached (by aminoacyl-tRNA synthetases). tRNAs cope with the degeneracy of the genetic code in two manners: having more than one tRNA (with a specific anti-codon) for a particular amino acid; and 'wobble' base-pairing, i.e. permitting non-standard base-pairing at the 3rd anti-codon position. Lineage: Bacteria; Bacillati; Bacillota. The record is from RNAcentral.
UGCCCUAUCGCCAAAUGGUAAGGCACCUGUCUCUGGAACAGGCAUUCUGUAGGUUCGAGUCCUGCUAGGGCAGCCA